UACGUAGGGGGCAAGCGUUGUCCGGAAUCACUGGGCGUAAAGCGCACGUAGGCGGCUUUUUAAGUCAGGGGUGAAAUCCUGGAGCUCAACUCCAGAACUGCCUUUGAUACUGAGGAUCUUGAGUUCGGGAGAGGUGAGUGGAACUGCGAGUGUAGAGGUGAAAUUCGUAGAUAUUCGCAAGAACACCAGUGGCGAAGGCGGCUCACUGGUCCGGUACUGACGCUGAGGUGCGAAAGCGUGGGGAGCGAACAGG
This 253-nucleotide ribosomal RNA is filed under the name uncultured bacterium. RNAcentral's name for it is "partial 16S ribosomal RNA". It matches the Rfam family "Bacterial small subunit ribosomal RNA", at positions 524 to 776 of the family's 1533-position model. The record is from RNAcentral.